This 50-nucleotide small nucleolar RNA is filed under the name Pyrococcus furiosus DSM 3638. RNAcentral's name for it is "PFUsR9". The record is from RNAcentral. Lineage: Archaea; Methanobacteriati; Methanobacteriota; Thermococci; Thermococcales; Thermococcaceae.
AUGAUGACCUUUUGCUUUACUGAACACAUGAUGACCACGCCCUUCGCUGA